GUCGAGCGGUAACAGAUCCAGCUUGCUGGAUGCUGACGAGCGGCGGACGGGUGAGUAACGCGUGGGGAUCUGCCUGGUAGUGGGGGACAACAGUCGGAAACGACUGCUAAUACCGCAUACGCCCUUCGGGGGAAAGUGGGGGAUCUUCGGACCUCACGCUAUCAGAUGAGCCCGCGUCGGAUUAGCUGGUUGGUGGGGUAAAGGCCUACCAAGGCGAUGAUCCGUAGCUGGUCUGAGAGGAUGAUCAGCCACACUGGGACUGAGACACGGCCCAGACUCCUACGGGAGGCAGCAGUGGGGAAUAUUGGACAAUGGGGGCAACCCUGAUCCAGCCAUGCCGCGUGUGUGAAGAAGGCCUUCGGGUUGUAAAGCACUUUCAGCAGUGAGGAAAGGUGUGUGGUUAAUACCCGCAUACUGUGACGUUAACUGCAGAAGAAGGACCGGCUAACUCCGUGCCAGCAGCCGCGGUAAUACGGAGGGUCCGAGCGUUAAUCGGAAUUACUGGGCGUAAAGCGCGCGUAGGUGGUUCAGUCAGUCAGAUGUGAAAGCCCCGGGCUUAACCUGGGAAUUGCACCUGAUACUGCUGAGCUAGAGUACGGUAGAGGGCAGUGGAAUUUCCGGUGUAGCGGUGAAAUGCGUAGAGAUCGGAAGGAACACCAGUGGCGAAGGCGACUGCCUGGACCGAUACUGACACUGAGGUGCGAAAGCGUGGGUAGCAAACAGGAUUAGAUACCCUGGUAGUCCACGCCGUAAACGAUGUCAACUAGCCGUUGGGGGACU
This 780-nucleotide ribosomal RNA is filed under the name uncultured bacterium. RNAcentral describes it as "bacterial SSU rRNA". It matches the Rfam family "Bacterial small subunit ribosomal RNA", at positions 61 to 832 of the family's 1533-position model. The record is from RNAcentral.